RNAcentral lists this long non-coding RNA (412 nucleotides) under Fukomys damarensis (Damara mole-rat). RNAcentral describes it as "lncRNA (ENSFDAG00000030593.1)". The record is from RNAcentral. Lineage: Eukaryota; Metazoa; Chordata; Mammalia; Rodentia; Bathyergidae.
CAACUAAUCAGUGUUUAAACAGGAUUGUUUUCUUCAUAUCCAGCAAUGUGAAUCAUUAAAAAGGAAUGAAGUAAUGUGCAGGGCAUACAGUCUUUGUAGAACUUUCUCAUUACUCAUUUUUACUAAGAAAAGUCAACAUAUGGCGGAAAUCAACAGGUCAUCCUGGAUUCCAGCAGAGCCUCCCAAGACUGAGUCUGUGCCAAGGAAGAGCAAUCAUCUUGUGGAAAUUGAAGCCAUUAUGGUCCUUAAGCUAGAAUGAUCACUCAGGAAUUGCAAAUCCAGGCCAAAGAUAGUGAUUAACCAGACCCCAACCCCAUAAAAUGGGCCUCUAUUGUGAAUGAGCCUGUCUCAUCCACCUCUUCAGAUCUGUACUCCCUUGACCUUUUUCAAGCCAUUCGCUUCUUCCCCCUUC